Molecule: ribosomal RNA, 699 nt
Filed under: Candidatus Mycoplasma mahonii
Lineage: Bacteria; Bacillati; Mycoplasmatota; Mollicutes; Mycoplasmatales; Mycoplasmataceae
Description: bacterial SSU rRNA
Rfam family: Bacterial small subunit ribosomal RNA
Source: RNAcentral
GGAGGCAGCAGUAGGGAAUAUUCCACAAUGAGCGAAAGCUUGAUGGAGCGACACAGCGUGCAGGAAGACGGUCUUAGGAUUGUAAACUGCUGUUAUAAGGGAAGAAAAGCAAGUAUAGGAAAUGAUAUUUGUCUGACGGUACCUUAUCAGAAAGCACCGGCAAACCAUGUGCCAGCAGCCGCGGUAAUACAUGGGGUGCAAGCGUUAUCCGGAAUUAUUGGGCGUAAAGCGUUCGUAGGUGGUUUAUUAAGUCUGAAGUUAAAGCCUGGGGCUCAACCCCAGCCCGCUUUGGAUACUGAUAGACUAGAGUUAUAGAGAGGUCGGUAGAACUCCAUGUGAAGCGGUGGAAUGCGUAGAUAUAUGGAAGAAUACCAAUGGCGAAGGCAGCCGACUGGAUAUAUACUGACACUGAGGAACGAAAGCGUGGGGAGCAAACAGGAUUAGAUACCCUGGUAGUCCACGCCGUAAACGAUGAUCAUUAGCUGGUGGAUUUAAUCACUGGCACAGCUAACGCGUUAAAUGAUCCGCCUGAGUAGUAUGCUCGCAAGAGUGAAACUUAAAGGAAUUGACGGGGACCCGCACAAGCGGUGGAGCAUGUGGUUUAAUUUGAAGAUACGCGUAGAACCUUACCCACUCUUGACAUCUUUCGCAAUGCUAUAGAGAUAUAGCGGAGGUUAACAGAAUGACAGAAUGGUGCAA